GACGAACGCUGGCGGCGUGCCUAAUACAUGCAAGUCGUGCGGACCUUUUAAAAGCUUGCUUUUAAAAGGUUAGCGGCGGACGGGUGAGUAACACGUGGGCAACCUGCCUGUAAGACUGGGAUAACGCCGGGAAACCGGGGCUAAUACCAGAUAGUUUUUUCCUCCGCAUGGAGGAAAAAGGAAAGGCGGCUUCGGCUGCCACUUACAGAUGGGCCCGCGGCGCAUUAGCUAGUUGGCGGGGUAAUGGCCCACCAAGGCAACGAUGCGUAGCCGACCUGAGAGGGUGAUCGGCCACAUUGGGACUGAGACACGGCCCAAACUCCUACGGGAGGCAGCAGUAGGGAAUCUUCCGCAAUGGACGAAAGUCUGACGGAGCAACGCCGCGUGAGUGAAGAAGGCCUUCGGGUCGUAAAACUCUGUUGCCGGGGAAGAACAAGUGCCGUUCGAACAGGGCGGCGCCUUGACGGUACCCGGCCAGAAAGCCACGGCUAACUAC
This 496-nucleotide ribosomal RNA is filed under the name uncultured bacterium. RNAcentral's name for it is "bacterial SSU rRNA". It matches the Rfam family "Bacterial small subunit ribosomal RNA", at positions 28 to 504 of the family's 1533-position model. The record is from RNAcentral.